GACGAACGCUGGCGGCGUGCCUAAUACAUGCAAGUAGAACGCUGAAGGAGGAGCUUGCUUCUCUGGAUGAGUUGCGAACGGGUGAGUAACGCGUAGGUAACCUGCCUGGUAGCGGGGGAUAACUAUUGGAAACGAUAGCUAAUACCGCAUAAGAGUAGAUGUUGCAUGACAUUUGCUUAAAAGGUGCAAUUGCAUCACUACCAGAUGGACCUGCGUUGUAUUAGCUAGUUGGUGAGGUAACGGCUCACCAAGGCAACGAUACAUAGCCGACCUGAGAGGGUGAUCGGCCACACUGGGACUGAGACACGGCCCAGACUCCUACGGGAGGCAGCAGUAGGGAAUCUUCGGCAAUGGGCGGAAGUCUGACCGAGCAACGCCGCGUGAGUGAAGAAGGUUUUCGGAUCGUAAAGCUCUGUUGUAAGAGAAGAACGAGUGUGAGAGUGGAAAGUUCACACUGG
Molecule: ribosomal RNA, 458 nt
Filed under: Streptococcus mitis
Lineage: Bacteria; Bacillati; Bacillota; Bacilli; Lactobacillales; Streptococcaceae
Description: bacterial SSU rRNA
Rfam family: Bacterial small subunit ribosomal RNA
Source: RNAcentral